UAAAGAGAACUCUGUCUCCUCUUGUGAUUGAGGAUAUAUAAGACAGACCUGCACAGAGCCUGCUUGAGAGUUCUGGUGUGUCUGCACCAUGGCCUGGACCCCACUCCUCUUCUUUGUCAUCUUUUACUGCAGAGGGUCUCUGUCCCAGCUUGUGCUGACUCAGUCACCUUCUGCCUCUGCAUCCCUCGGAGCCUCGGCCAAGCUCACCUGCACCCUCAACAGUGAAUAUAAACACUAUGGCAUUGCAUGGUUUCAGCAGUACCCGGGGAAGGCUCCUCAGUAUUUGAUGUGGGUUAAGAGCGAUGGAAGCCUCAUUAAAGGAAAUGGAAUUCCUGACCGCUUCUCAGGUUCCAGCUCUGGGACCGAACGCUACUUGACCAUCACCAACAUCAAUUCUGCGGAUGAAGCUGACUAUAUCUGUGGUGCUAAUUACAACAUUGGUGGGUCAUAUGGUUAAGACACAGUGACACAUUCAAA
Cavia porcellus (domestic guinea pig) is the source of this 477-nucleotide non-coding RNA. Lineage: Eukaryota; Metazoa; Chordata; Mammalia; Rodentia; Caviidae. The record is from the annotation of a RefSeq genome assembly.